Unclassified non-coding RNA from Chrysemys picta bellii (western painted turtle), 173 nucleotides. The record is from Ensembl. NCBI's taxonomy places the organism in Eukaryota, Metazoa, Chordata, Testudines, Emydidae.
AUGAUGGCAUUGGAAGCUAAAGUCCUCUGUUUAUCCACAGAACAAGUACUGCACAGGAAGUAGUUGUGUAAGUUUCCACAUACUGGCAUCACUGAGCCUCAGACUGUUCUAGAGGGGCCAGCACAAGGAUGAAAAGAAAUGAGUCUGAUUGUAAUAUUCAGGGAAUGGAAACA